This 589-nucleotide ribosomal RNA is filed under the name uncultured bacterium. RNAcentral's name for it is "bacterial SSU rRNA". It matches the Rfam family "Bacterial small subunit ribosomal RNA", at positions 35 to 670 of the family's 1533-position model. The record is from RNAcentral.
GCUGGCGGCAGGCUUAACACAUGCAAGUCGAACGCCCUGGCAACGGGGAGUGGCAGACGGGUGAGUAACACGUGGGAACAUACCCUUCGGUUCGGAACAACGCCGGGAAACUGGCGCUAAUACCGGAUACGGCUUACGGGCGAAAGAUUGAUCGCCGAAGGAUUGGCCCGCGUUCGAUUAGCUUGUUGGUGAGGUAACGGCUCACCAAGGCGACGAUCGAUAGCUGGUCCGAGAGGAUGGCCAGCCACAUUGGGACUGAGACACGGCCCAAACUCCUACGGGAGGCAGCAGUGGGGAAUAUUGGACAAUGGGCGCAAGCCUGAUCCAGCCAUGCCGCGUGAGUGAUGACGGCCUUAGGGUUGUAAAGCUCUUUCGCACGCGACGAUAAUGACGGUAGCGUGAGAAGAAGCCCCGGCUAACUUCGUGCCAGCAGCCGCGGUAAUACGAAGGGGGCCAGCGUUGUUCGGAAUCACUGGGCGUAAAGGGUGCGUAGGCGGGAUCUUAAGUCAGGGGUGAAAUCCCGAGGCUCAACCUCGGAACUGCCUUUGAUACUGGGGUCCUUGAGUCCGGAAGAGGUGAGUGGAACUGC